RNAcentral lists this ribosomal RNA (259 nucleotides) under uncultured bacterium. RNAcentral's name for it is "partial 16S ribosomal RNA". It matches the Rfam family "Bacterial small subunit ribosomal RNA", at positions 524 to 777 of the family's 1533-position model. The record is from RNAcentral.
GACGAACCGUGCGAACGUUGUUCGGAUUCACUGGGCUUAAAGGGCGCGUAGGCGGGCAUUCAAGUCAGGGGUGAAAGCCCCCGGCCUAAACCCGGGGGAAGUGCCUCUGAGACUGAGUGUCUCGAGGGGGGGUAGGGGCAGUUGGAACUCUCGGUGGAGCGGUGAAAUGCGUAGAUAUCGGGAGGAACGCCGGUGGCGAAAGCGGGCUGCUGGACCCCUUCUGACGCUGAGGCGGCGAAAGCCAGGGGAGCGAACGGGG